Molecule: ribosomal RNA, 760 nt
Filed under: Tornabea scutellifera
Lineage: Eukaryota; Fungi; Ascomycota; Lecanoromycetes; Caliciales; Physciaceae
Description: SSU rRNA
Rfam family: Bacterial small subunit ribosomal RNA
Source: RNAcentral
UUGGAGGAAUGUAUAGCGAAAGCUAGUUGUAUUUAAUUUAUAAAUUGAUGCAGCAUCGACUAUGUCGAAUAAAGUUCUAGAUGGCUUAUGAUUAUGACAUUUGCUGUCUAUGUGUCUUGACCAAAUUACGUGCCAGCAGUCGCGGUAAUACGUAGAAGACUAGUGUUAUUCAUCUUUAAUAGGUUUAAAGGGUACCUAGACGGAAAAUCAAGUCCAAGAAGGAUACUAAUUUUCUAGAGUUUGAUGUGAGUGGGCACUAAAGUACUGAUAGUUUAGAGAUAAAAUGCUAUAAUACGAUAUAGGGCACUGCCAAAGGCGAAGGCAUCUCACUAUGUAAGAACUGACGUUGAGGGACGAAGGCUAUGUGUAGCGAUGCGGAUUAGAUACCCAAGUAGUCGUAGCAGUAAAUUAUGAAUGUCAUAGAAUAGAUAAAAAUUUUUUUCUAUAAAUGAAAGUGUAAGCAUUCCACCUCAAGAGUAAGAUGGCAACAUUGGAACUGAAAUCAUUAGACCGUUUCUGAAACAAGUAGUGAAGUAUGUCGUUUAAUUUGAUAACCCACAAAAAACCUUACCACAAUUUGAAUAGAAAAUUUUAUUUCAUACAAGUGCUGCACGGUUGUCUUCAGUUAAUGUCGUGAGAUUUUGGUUAGCUCCAUUAAAUUAACGUAAACCCUUACUUUAUUUAUAUAUAGAGUAGUUCACCGAUAUAUUGGUAGGAUAACAGGGACUAAGACAACUCAUCAUGGCCUUAAUAUUGUGGG